ACUCUGAACCUUUAGAAGAGCAGUCAGUGCUCUUAACCACCCCCAUCUCACUGUGGUUUUUUUUUUUUAAUUUUAAAUAUACAAUUGGCAUUCAUUAUACAUGUUUAAAAUUGCUUUGGUGUAUUUGUAUGCAUAUCUAUAUUUGAGACCACAGUGAACCUAGAACAUAUCUGUAACCCUUUCCACCCACACCUUUUCCAAAGAAUUGCCUAUCUGAAAUGGCCUUAUAGAUUUGUUUCAUGUAAAUGGAAUCAAUGUGAACUCUUUAUAUGUCUGGCUGCUGGUCAUUCAACGUCAUUGGGUUUAUCCCUGUCACAGAAUGAAGCAGUACUGUAGCAGCCUGGGAUGCCAGAACAGUCUAACUUCUGGUCCAGAUUUCAUUAGUAACAGAAGGCCCUUUAAUAUAUUGACCCCAUGAAUCAUAUUGCCAUAUACACCAAUUGUAAAAACCCAAGGUGUGUUUUCUGGGCCUUCUUGGCUACAACGGAAGUGGAGCAAAUGUAGGCAAGAUUUCUUCCACUUUGGGCAGCUUUGCUGAGUCUUGGGAGGGAAGCUCACAAUUGACUCCAGGCCUGUGGCAUGUCUGCUUGUUUGUAAUUAUAUGGGGGAUAUUCUGUUCUCUUGACUUGGCAGCUUUGCUGAAUCUUGGGAGAGCAGCUCACAAUGGACUCCAGAUCUGUGGCAUGUCUACUUGUUUGUAAUUAUAUGGGGAUAUACCAAUGCAGUGAACCUGCUACACACUAGCUUUGCCUUGGGAAUGUUUUCACUUUGUGUCUAUUUGUGCUUGUACAUGAAAGCCAGAGGACAACUUCAAAUAGCAUUCCUCAGGAACCAUCCAUCUUUGUCUCAUGUUUGAGAUCGCAUCUCACCAUGAAGCUGUGACUGACCUGGAACUCACAGAGAUCUCCCUGCCUCUCCCUCCAAGUGUUGGGAUUAAAGGUUCCUGGUGGAGAGCUUUGUGGCAUCCAGGUGGGAGAGGAGUCAGACGGUCUAGAUGCCACCUGCGUGACCCUAUGCCAUAAAGUUAAGGCUUUCGCUUCAGCUCUGAUUCCUCCUGUUGCUAAUACCUCACUGGGUGAGGUGUUUUGGGAGUUUUUGUGUGCUUUGUUUUGUUUUAAACGGCUUCUUUUGAUUAGGGAUUUUGGUCAGAGUCUCUAGGACUAAAUAAGCAAGAGAUAUUGAUAAAGUUCAACAUGGUGAGAAGUGGGAGCUGUAUCUAACUAUUUUAAGGUUUUCUUAAAUGGUUACACCAAGAGCAAACUAUCUCGAGCAUGCCAAGGAUUCUUCUCCCCAUUGUUAAAAACAAAACAAAACCAAGAAGGGGGGGGAACAGCACAUUUUUUUCAAUCUGUUGGAAAGAUUUUGUUUGAUUAGCCGGCAGUGGUGACACAAGCCUUUAAUCCCAGCAUUUGGGAGGCAGAGACAGGCGGGUCUCAGUGAGUUUGAGGCCAGCCUGGUCUACAAGAGCUAAUUCCAGGACAGGCUACAAAGCUACAGAGAAACCCUGUCUCAAAAAACAUUACAAUGACCAGAUUGUAGGUCACAAAGUACUUUAAGAGGACAGCAAUAAUCGCAGUAAACAACAGUAAGCUGCCAGAAUACACCCUCUGUAACUGACGCCAUGUUGACCAUAGCUUUCUGUACACUGUAUUUGACAUUAGCAAGAGUAGAGAUAGAAUGUGUAUCAAGAAACUAUUCCCCCACCCCUUAAAAAAAAAAAAACCACUUACACAAUUCCAGCAAAUCAGAAAUGAAAUUUAACUUUGUGGUAUUUGUUCUUUUCUCAUUGUGCAUGUUUUUUUAAAAACCUGUCAGUGCUGCAUGCAUCUAAUCCCAAGCCCAUGUGAGGGAAGAGCAAGAGUCUGAGUUCCAGGACAGUCUAGGCUACAUGAUGAAACCUUCCAGAAAGCCAAGUAAUUACAACAGCAACAAAAGAGUUGGCACUGUUGCAUCAUCUUUCAGUGACCAAGAACUUUCUUUUUUGCUGAAAGAAAUCCUCUCUGUUUUGCAAAAUAAAGAAAAACUCCACGGUUUAACUGUGUUUCCAUGUUUUGCGCUCAGGAGAUGUAACCUGUCCUUGCUCUUUCCAUUGCUGUCAGCAUCACAGCUGAUUUCCGGGGAGGGAAGGCAGUGCUGGGGAGGGAUGCCAGGGUUUUCUGCUGAGUCAUACCCAGAGCCAAGAGUGAGCCCAGAUGCUCUGCUGCAGGCUGCUGCAGGCUGUGAAGCUGCCCUACUUAUCCCUAGCUGACUGGUGCUGACCCUAAAUGUCCUCAAGUGGUGCAGAUGUCACUGUCUGGCCUGUCUCCUAGUCUAUACUGAACAAGGCUCCCCUUGCAAACAAUAACCCAAAUAAACCCA
Myodes glareolus (Bank vole) is the source of this 2358-nucleotide non-coding RNA. Lineage: Eukaryota; Metazoa; Chordata; Mammalia; Rodentia; Cricetidae. The record is from RefSeq and is a predicted model, not a curated record.